RNAcentral lists this ribosomal RNA (1296 nucleotides) under Triticum aestivum (bread wheat). RNAcentral's name for it is "partial small subunit ribosomal RNA". The record is from RNAcentral. Lineage: Eukaryota; Viridiplantae; Streptophyta; Magnoliopsida; Poales; Poaceae.
AUGGCGAGCGGGGAGGACCGCAUCAGCGCCCUCCCGGAGGACAUCCUCCACCACGUGCUCCGCCUCCUGCCGGCUCAUGAGGUGGUGCGGACGUGCUUGCUCGCCCGCCGCUGGCGCGGCGUCUGGAGGUCCGUGCCCACCCUCCGCUUCACCGGGGCCAAGGGGUGGGGCAGCGCCGACAUGUUCGCCCAAUUUGUGGACCACUUGCUCCACCUCAGGUGCGAGGGCGACGGUCCGCCUCUGGAUUCCUGCGAUUUCGACUUUGAUUCCGACGGAAUCAUGCUGUUGCCCGCUAAGGAGUGGCAUGCGAGCAACUGGCUCUGGAAAGCCCUGCCUCGUGUUCGGGCUCUCCGGCUCCGGCUUCGUAUUGUCGACGAGCAGGAAGCCUUGCCACUAUCUUAUAUGCAUCUCUUCUCCCAGCACCUCACGAGAUUAGAGCUUGUUGGUGUCUCUUUCAACAACAGCGUCGCUGAUUUUUCAGGCUGUCCGGCAUUGGUGGAACUGAGUAUGGAUACUUGUGACGUCUUUAUGAAACAACUGCUGUCUCCAUCCUUGAAACAUCUGCGAAUUGCCCGCUGCUAUAUUUCUGAUCGUUACCGCAUUCUUAUUUCUCUACCAAAUCUUGUUUCGCUUGAGUUGAUCGAAUGCCACCGAGGAAGGGUUCCAUUGCUUGGAAGCUUGCCGCGGUUAGCAAGAGCUGUUGUGGUGCUUAACGAGCAUUGUGCUGAUCAAUGCUCUCAGGAUCAGCUUGAUAGUUGUGGUGCUGAGAGAAGAGAUAUUUGUUAUGGUUGUUAUUAUUAUUAUGGGGAUCCUGCACAUGGGCCUCAUUAUGACCGCAACGACUGCAUCUUUCUCAAAGGUUUGUCAGAAGCCACAGACUUGGAGUUGUCAGCUGAUUCUGUUGUGACUGUUCUCAACAGGGAUUUGAAGUGGUGCCCUACAUUUACCAAGUUAAAGACUUUGCUACUAAAUGAUUGGUGUUUGGCUGCUGACCACAAUGCACUAAUUUGCUUUCUCCAACACUCACCAAUUUUGGGGAAGCUUACCCUUCAACUUUUUGAGGGACCUUCAUAUGUAACUGAAGCAGAAGGAAUAUACAAACCAUUGGGACAGUCAGUUGCAUCCAACUGUCUUAAGAUUGUUGAAAUCAAAUGUGCAAAUGUUGAUAAAAAGGUUCACCAAAUUUUGAAGAUACUGACUACUUAUGGCAUACACCUUGAGCAAAUUAGUGUCCAACAAACUAGCAGAAUUCCUGGAUCUGGAUGUUUCAAUUUUGUUUGCACUGGUUUCAGCUAA